AGAGAGAGACAUGCGCGCAUAUCAAUAAGCGGAGGAAAAGAAACUAACAUAGGAUUCCCUCAGUAACGGCGAGUGAAGCGGGAAGAGCUCAAAUUUGAAAUCUUCAAGGUUUUACCUCGACGAAUUGUAGUUUAAAGAAGUGUUUUCUGUUGGAGUUUUGGUAAAAGUUCUUUGGAAUAGGACAUCAUAGAGGGUGAGAAUCCCGUAUUUGACCAUUAUUUCCAGCUUUGUGAUACACUUUCAAAGAGUCGGAUUGUUUGGGAAUGCAGUCCAAAAUGGGUGGUAAAUUUCAUCUAAAGCUAAAUAUUGGCGAGAGACCGAUAGCGAACAAGUACCGUGAGGGAAAGAUGAAAAGAACUUUGAAAAGAGAGUUAAACAGUACGUGAAAUUGUCAAAAGGGAAGCGUUUGACACCAGUGUUGUUUUCUCGAAAAUCAAUUAAUGAAGGCUGGAUGUUAGUGUUGUAUUGACUUUAUCAGCAUUUACUGCCUCUAGUUUCUUGUCUUUUGUGAAUGCACUUUUCGUUUAACAAGUCAACAUCAAUUUCUUUUGUUGUAAAAGGGUCAUUGGAAGGUGGCUUUCUUUUCGGAGAAAGUGUUUAUAGCCUUCGGCCUCUGCAAUCGGAGAGAUUGAGGUCUGCAGCGUAGAUCCUUCGGGGUUAGAUACAUUUGUGCUAAGUUAUAGCCUUUCAUAGACAACUUGUUGACUAUGAUCAGUCAUGUAGCUUACUCGCUUAUGCUAUUUUACCUACGCUUAGGAUGUUGACAGCAGUAUAGACUGU
This 780-nucleotide ribosomal RNA is filed under the name uncultured Neocallimastigales. Its description in RNAcentral is "partial large subunit ribosomal RNA". It matches the Rfam family "Eukaryotic large subunit ribosomal RNA", at positions 23 to 634 of the family's 3401-position model. The record is from RNAcentral. Lineage: Eukaryota; Fungi; Neocallimastigomycota; Neocallimastigomycetes; Neocallimastigales.